RNAcentral lists this ribosomal RNA (471 nucleotides) under uncultured bacterium. RNAcentral describes it as "SSU rRNA". It matches the Rfam family "Bacterial small subunit ribosomal RNA", at positions 26 to 518 of the family's 1533-position model. The record is from RNAcentral.
AGGACGAACGCUGGCGGCGUGCCUAACACAUGCAAGUCGAACGGGGCCCGCAAGGGUUCAGUGGCGAACGGGUGCGUAACACGUGAAGAACUUGUCCAUCGGCGGGGGAUAGCCGGCCCAACGGCCGGGUAAUACCGCGUACGCUUGUCGGGUGGCAUCACCCGACAAGGAAAGCAGCAAUGCACCGAUGGAGAGCUUCGCGGCCUAUCAGCUAGUUGGCGGGGUAAUGGCCCACCAAGGCAACGACGGGUAGCUGGUCUGAGAGGAUGACCAGCCACAUUGGGACUGAGACACGGCCCAGACUCCUACGGGAGGCAGCAGUGGGGAAUAUUGCGCAAUGGGGGAAACCCUGACGCAGCGACGCCGCGUGUGGGAUGACGGCCUUCGGGUUGUAAACCACUGUCGGGAGGGACGGAAGAUCUGACGGUACCUCCGAAAGGAAGCACCGGCUAACUCUGUGCCAGCAGCCGC